UACGGAGGGUGCAAGCGUUAAUCGGGUUUAUUGGGCGUAAAGGGCGCGUAGGCGGGGAGCCAAGUUAGAUGUGAAAUCCCGGGGCUCAACUCCGGACCCGCAUCUAAUACUGCUUUUCUAGAGGAUGGAUGGAGAAAAGGGAAUUCCACGUGUAGCGGUGAAAUGCGCAGAUAUGUGGAAGAACACCAGUGGCGAAGGCGCUUUUCUAAUUCAUUCCUGACGCUGAAGCGCGAAAGCAAGGGGAGCAGACAGG
RNAcentral lists this ribosomal RNA (253 nucleotides) under uncultured bacterium. RNAcentral's name for it is "partial 16S ribosomal RNA". It matches the Rfam family "Bacterial small subunit ribosomal RNA", at positions 524 to 776 of the family's 1533-position model. The record is from RNAcentral.